Non-coding RNA from Suillus clintonianus, 131 nucleotides. The record is from the annotation of a RefSeq genome assembly. NCBI's taxonomy places the organism in Eukaryota, Fungi, Basidiomycota, Agaricomycetes, Boletales, Suillaceae.
GGCCGACUAGCUCAGCUGGUUAGAGCGUCGUGCUAAUACGAUUCGUUGAUAAAUGCGUGUUCACUAUUACUCACUUGUUUAUCGACGGAUUUGAUACGCGAAGGUCUUGGGUUCGAUCCCCACGUUGGCCA